This 306-nucleotide unclassified non-coding RNA is filed under the name plant metagenome. RNAcentral describes it as "partial contains 5.8S ribosomal RNA, internal transcribed spacer 2, and large subunit ribosomal RNA". The stretch from base 1 to 105 matches the Rfam family "5.8S ribosomal RNA", at positions 50 to 154 of the family's 154-position model. The record is from RNAcentral.
GAAAUACAAUAAGUAAUAUAAAUUAUAGAAUUUAAUAAAUUAUUAAAUUUUUAAACGCACAUUAUGCUCCUUGGUAUUCUGUGGGGCAUGCCUAUUUGAGCGUUAUCUACACCCUUAAGCUCUACUUAGUGUUGGGCGUCUAUCCCGCCUUUACGCGUAGACUUAUUUUAAAUAUAUUAGUAGUGGUCUUUGCCUUCUCCCGUGUAGUAUAUUGCGCUUCUUAAGGCUGUAGUAGCCUGUGUCUAAUAAGCUAAACCCCCCCGUCUUUAACCUCGGAUUAGGUAGGGAUACCCGCUGAACUUAAGC